This 430-nucleotide ribosomal RNA is filed under the name uncultured Desulfobacteraceae bacterium. Its description in RNAcentral is "bacterial SSU rRNA". It matches the Rfam family "Bacterial small subunit ribosomal RNA", at positions 355 to 776 of the family's 1533-position model. The record is from RNAcentral. Lineage: Bacteria; Pseudomonadati; Thermodesulfobacteriota; Desulfobacteria; Desulfobacterales; Desulfobacteraceae.
UGAGGAAUUUUGCGCAAUGGGGGAAACCCUGACGCAGCAACGCCGCGUGAGUGAUGAAGGCCUUCGGGUCGUAAAGCUCUGUCAAGUGGGAAGAACCUACAUAUGGCUAAUAUCCAUGUGUACUGACGGUACCAUUGAAGGAAGCACCGGCUAACUCCGUGCCAGCAGCCGCGGUAAUACGGAGGGUGCAAGCGUUAUUCGGAAUUAUUGGGCGUAAAGAGCACGUAGGCGGCUAGUUAAGUCAGAUGUGAAAGCCCGGGGCUUAACCCCGGAAGUGCAUUUGAAACUAAUUGGCUUGAGUAUGGGAGAGGGAAGUGGAAUUCCUGGUGUAGAGGUGAAAUUCGUAGAUAUCAGGAGGAACACCGGUGGCGAAGGCGACUUCCUGGACCAAUACUGACGCUGAGGUGCGAAAGCGUGGGGAGCAAACAGG